Molecule: ribosomal RNA, 253 nt
Filed under: uncultured bacterium
Lineage: Bacteria
Description: partial 16S ribosomal RNA
Rfam family: Bacterial small subunit ribosomal RNA
Source: RNAcentral
UACGGAGGUGGCAAGCGUUGUUCGGAAUUACUGGGCGUAAAGGGCGCGUAGGCGGCAUGGCAAGUCAGGUGUGAAAGCCCCGGGCUUAACUCGGGAACUGCAUCUGAAACUGCUUUGCUUGAGUCCUGGAGGGGGUAGUGGAAUUCCCAGUGUAGCGGUGAAAUGCGUAGAUAUUGGGAGGAACACCGGUGGCGAAGGCGGCUACCUGGACAGUGACUGACGCUGAGGCGCGAAAGCUAGGGGAGCGAACGGG